AUUGAAACACCGGUUCCCGUACGAUCAAUGAAGUUAAGCAACGUCCAACCUGGUUAGUACCUUGAUGGGUGACCGCUUUGAAAUGCCAGGUGCUGUAA
This is a non-coding RNA of Acanthosepion pharaonis, 98 nucleotides long. The record is from the annotation of a GenBank genome assembly. Lineage: Eukaryota; Metazoa; Mollusca; Cephalopoda; Sepiida; Sepiidae.